CGGCAGACGGGUGAGUAACGCGUGGGAACGUACCUUUUGCUACGGAAUAGCUCUGGGAAACUGGAAUUAAUACCGUAUGUGCCCUUCGGGGGAAAGAUUUAUCGGCAAAAGAUCGGCCCGCGUUGGAUUAGCUAGUUGGUGGGGUAAAGGCCUACCAAGGCGACGAUCCAUAGCUGGUCUGAGAGGAUGAUCAGCCACAUUGGGACUGAGACACGGCCCAAACUCCUACGGGAGGCAGCAGUGGGGAAUAUUGGACAAUGGGCGCAAGCCUGAUCCAGCCAUGCCGCGUGAGUGAUGAAGGUCUUAGGAUUGUAAAGCUCUUUCAACGGUGAAGAUAAUGACGGUAACCGUAGAAGAAGCCCCGGCUAACUUCGUGCCAGCAGCCGCGGUAAUACGAAGGGGGCUAGCGUUGUUCGGAAUUACUGGGCGUAAAGCGCGCGUAGGCGGGUAUUUAAGUCAGGGGUGAAAUCCCAGAGCUCAACUCUGGAACUGCCUUUGAUACUGGGUACCUAGAGUCCGGAAGAGGUGAGUGGAAUUGCGAGUGUAGAGGUGAAAUUCGUAGAUAUUCGCAGGAACACCAGUGGCGAAGGCGGCUCACUG
Molecule: ribosomal RNA, 600 nt
Filed under: Rhizobium subbaraonis
Lineage: Bacteria; Pseudomonadati; Pseudomonadota; Alphaproteobacteria; Hyphomicrobiales; Rhizobiaceae
Description: bacterial SSU rRNA
Rfam family: Bacterial small subunit ribosomal RNA
Source: RNAcentral